RNAcentral lists this ribosomal RNA (493 nucleotides) under uncultured bacterium. RNAcentral's name for it is "bacterial SSU rRNA". It matches the Rfam family "Bacterial small subunit ribosomal RNA", at positions 30 to 507 of the family's 1533-position model. The record is from RNAcentral.
AUUGAACGCUGGCGGCAUGCCUUACACAUGCAAGUCGAACGGCAGCACGGGAGCAAUCCUGGUGGCGAGUGGCGAACGGGUGAGUAAUAUAUCGGAACGUGCCCAGUCGUGGGGGAUAACUACUCGAAAGAGUAGCUAAUACCGCAUACGAUCUACGGAUGAAAGCGGGGGAUCGCAAGACUUCGCGCGAUUGGAGCGGCCGAUAUCAGAUUAGGUAGUUGGUAGGGUAAAAGCCUACCAAGCCUGCGAUCUGUAGCUGGUCUGAGAGGACGACCAGCCCACACUGGAACUGAGACACGGUCCAGACUCCUACGGGAGGCAGCAGUGGGGAAUUUUGGACAAUGGGCGCAAGCCUGAUCCAGCAAUGCCGCGUGCAGGACGAAGGCCUCGGUUGUUAACUAGCUUUGUUACGGUAGCGAAAAGGUACGUCUACUAAUACUAGGGGCGUCGAUGACGGUACCGGUAACGAAUAAGACACCGGACUAACUACGUA